GCCUGAAACUUGUUUUAAGAAGCAGUAUUCACUGCAAACCAUAAAGUCUUAGAAAAUUCUGAUAUAUCAGAAAUAUAUUUAUUAUCUUUUAAGUGGUACUGUUUCCCUAGGGCAUUAGUUCUCAGAUUUCAGAAUGGGGAGCAAUCACCUGGGACAUUUGUUUAAAAUGCACAUUGCUGGGCCUACCUUAGAAUUCUGCUGGGUCUUUGGACCUUAUUUUGAGAAACACUUUCUUUGAGCUAUUCUUUUAUUGUCCUGUAGUUAUAUAUUAGAAUAUUCAUGAUAAGUUUUGAGAAAGGGGUAGGCAGUGAGUUACUAUCUUACCUACAAUUUUACAUAAAUUUUGAAUGACUUCUUCAAGUUAGAGAUCUCCCCCCACCCCGCCGGCAAAAUCCCAUCUAUUUUCUAUCAAUAAUGUUAAAAUGAUGAACAUUUUUCUGUGAUGAGCUUUUAACCGUUAUUCAGGGUGGGGUUUUUUUUUUUUCGUUUGUUUUUAAAUAUUUUUUUUAACUAAUAAGAUUUACCAUGUAUAUUUUAUACAAAAUUGCAUUACAGAUAUGUUUUUAAUUGCGUUCUGUUUUUUUGUAGUUUUUAAGUGCCAUGCCAGUUCCUUUUCUAUAGAAGUGCUCUCAAAAUACUCAAUGAGAAUAAGGCAGUUGACAGAAUGGUGUUCUAAGAAAAAAUUUAUUUUACAUAAGCAUGUCUGGUCGGACCGUUCUAUGUGUAUGCAGCCUGAGUUGCCUAUCCGGAAGAAUUGAGGAGAGGAGAAUUUCAGUGUCUAGAUUGCCUCGAUUGCCUUGACCGGGUGGAACCUCUUGGAAAUCCUCAGUGGCAGCACAUUUCAUCCUUUGAAGAUGGAUUUGAUUCUCAGAAAUCCUCAAAAGCUAUUCGGAGUCAAGUCUCAGGUGGGUGGCAAAUCUGGGGAAUAUUGUUCUGGACACUCGGACCUUAAUUCUGCCUCCUUUCUACCCCCUGAUGGAAGAGCCUCUGUUGGAAUGACUUUGAGGUAAAUAGGACAUUUUGCUUCUUCUCUUUGGCUCACAGAGGAAGACUUAAAUUCUCAGGGGAGAAGAAAUGAUGACCUAGAGAACAUCUUUUUUUCUCUCUCUCUCCAGCAUAAUAAUUCCCCAAAGCUGUGUCCUUUGUCUCCGCCUGCAGUGCACUGGGUCUACCUCGGGGGCUCGGCCGUGGACCAGGGGGUGGAGAGGGUGUACUUCCAAAGCUCUUCUAAGCCUGUAUUUGCAGAACCCGGAAGAAUAUUUAAUUAGUUCUGUACUCCAGGCUACUCAUAACAGGAGUUCACAGGGUUGGGGUGUGGGGGUGAAAAGAGAGGCCUCGUACCUCUAGUUUAGAAUCCUCGUCCCUGGGGCGCCUGGGUGGCUCAGUCGUUAAGCGUCUGCCUUCAGCUCAGGGUGUGAUCCCAGCGUUCUGGGAUCGAGCCCCACAUCAGGCUCCUCCGCUGGGAGCCUGCUUCUUCCUCUUCCACUCCCCCUGCUUGUGUUCCCUCUCUCGCUGGCUGUCUCUCUCUCUGUCAAAUAAAUAAAUAAAAUCUUAAAAAAAAAAAAAAGAAUCCUCGUCCCUAGAGGCUUACACAACUGCAGGGGCUCGGCCGCAGGCCUGGAAGUGUUCUCCCGUGGGUGCUCUCUACGGUAGCAGGGAAUGUCCCACUCAGAGCCCCCCUUUCUCCCUCCGCAUCGUCCAUCU
RNAcentral lists this long non-coding RNA (1704 nucleotides) under Ursus thibetanus thibetanus. Its description in RNAcentral is "lncRNA (ENSUTTG00000009027.1)". Lineage: Eukaryota; Metazoa; Chordata; Mammalia; Carnivora; Ursidae. The record is from RNAcentral.